GACGAACCGAGCGAACGUUGUUCGGAAUCACUGGGCUUAAAGGGCGCGUAGGCGGGCUGUCAAGUCUGGGGUGAAAUCCCGCGGCUCAACCGUGGAACUGCCUCAGAUACUGACGGCCUCGAGGGAGGUAGGGGCGAGCGGAACUCUCAGUGGAGCGGUGAAAUGCGUUGAUAUUGGGAGGAACUCCGGUGGCGAAAGCGGCUCGCUGGGCCUUUUCUGACGCUGAUGCGCGAAAGCUAGGGGAGCAAACGGG
RNAcentral lists this ribosomal RNA (253 nucleotides) under uncultured bacterium. RNAcentral's name for it is "partial 16S ribosomal RNA". It matches the Rfam family "Bacterial small subunit ribosomal RNA", at positions 524 to 776 of the family's 1533-position model. The record is from RNAcentral.